UAGGAAUAUGAUAUGCACUUAUAUAGAAUCUAUCAUUCUUGGUAGAUAAGGGUAUUAGUUCUGCGUGAUUUAUGAGAUCGAGUUUAGAAGAUCUUAGGUAGAGAGAAAAUAAUAGAAAGGGUUUCUGAUAUUAAAAAUUCGAGUAGAAUAAAUUUAACAUAUGACAGACGAUAGGGUUUGAUGAGCUAUUUUUUGACCUCCGUCUAGUUGGGACUCAUGAUAGAACGACUGUAUCACACAUUAACUGCAUCUAGAGUGUCAUGCCUCGCGACUGCCAAUUUGGUCGGUUGGGGUAUGCCGAACAGAUACCGAACAGACAGAA
This 322-nucleotide long non-coding RNA is filed under the name Ananas comosus (pineapple). Its description in RNAcentral is "long non-coding RNA (ACOM_LNC044014)". The record is from RNAcentral. Lineage: Eukaryota; Viridiplantae; Streptophyta; Magnoliopsida; Poales; Bromeliaceae.